This 376-nucleotide ribosomal RNA is filed under the name uncultured bacterium. Its description in RNAcentral is "bacterial SSU rRNA". It matches the Rfam family "Bacterial small subunit ribosomal RNA", at positions 524 to 898 of the family's 1533-position model. The record is from RNAcentral.
UACAGAGGGUGCAAGCGUUAAUCGGAAUUACUGGGCGUAAAGGGCGCGUAGGCGGUUAUUUAAGUUAGAUGUGAAAUCCCUGGGCUUAACCUAGGAAUUGCAUCUAAUACUGGGUAACUAGAGUAUUGUAGAGGGUAGUGGAAUUUCCGGUGUAGCGGUGAAAUGCGUAGAUAUCGGAAGGAACACCAGUGGCGAAGGCGGCUACCUGGACAAAUACUGACGCUGAGGCGCGAGAGCGUGGGGAGCAAACAGGAUUAGAUACCCUGGUAGUCCACGCUGUAAACGAUGAAGACUGGAUGUUGGAGAGCUAAGACUCUUUAGUAUCGAAGCUAACGCGAUAAGUCUUCCGCCUGGGGAGUACGACCGCAAGGUUAAA